RNAcentral lists this ribosomal RNA (235 nucleotides) under uncultured bacterium. RNAcentral describes it as "partial 16S ribosomal RNA". It matches the Rfam family "Bacterial small subunit ribosomal RNA", at positions 99 to 334 of the family's 1533-position model. The record is from RNAcentral.
CGAAAGGGCGAGGAAUAACUACCUAACGUGCCUUCAGGUAAGGGAUAGCUCAUGGAAACGUGUGGUAAUACCUUAUAAUCUCACUAGUUCAUAUGGAUUUUUGAGCAAAGGCUUGCUGCCUGAAGAUCGGGGUAGUUCCUAUCAGCUUGUUGGUAAGGUAACGGCUUACCAAGGCUAAGACGGGUAGCGGGUGUGAGAGCAUGACCCGCCGCAUCGGGACUGAGACACUGCCCGG